AAUUGUCUCAGAAUACCACUCUCUACAUCAUACUAAAAGUUAAUUCAAACGUGAACAACCCCUUUAAUAAUACAAGGAGAAGAACUGGCAUACUAAUACAGGCUCAAUAUAAAAAGAAAGAUGAUACAUAUAAACCUGAUACAGGGAGAAAUCUGGCAUUUUAGUACAGUUACUACUGGUGGGUAACUAAGAUCUUCCAUUGGUUUAGAAAAUAUUCUGGCACUGGUUAUUUUAGAGUUGCAUUUGGCCUCUCACCUGCCACUUUCUAUCAUGUCCUGCCCCCUUCUUCCAAAUGAUACAGACAUAGGGACUGACAACAUAGACUGUUAUGUGAAGCUCUGACUAUUAGAGCAGCCGUCUCUUUGCUCUGCAGGCUGACGGAGGAAGCCAGAACCUAUAAUCGGGCAGGAAACAAGAACCAGGCUCUGCGUUGUUUGCGGAAGAGAAAGCUAGUGGAGCGUCGCAUUACGGAGCUGCAGAACAAGCAGGACAACAUACAGGGAAUCUUGGAGAGGAUAACGGCUGCCGAAACAGACCGCAAGGUUGUCUCUGCGUACCAGAUGGGAGUCUCUGCUCUUAAACAGGCCCUAAAAGAUGUCACUUUGGAGAAGGCAGAAAGUAUUGUGGAUCAGAUUCAAGAGAUGUUGACUCUGAUGAUUUGGAGAGAGAACUCAAUGACAUUCUCCAAAAUGAAGAGAUGAUUAUUGACCUUCCUGAUGUUCCUUCAGGCCCAGUGAUCAUUUCUCCCCAGCGCCCUACAGAAUGGAAGAUGG
Xenopus laevis (African clawed frog) is the source of this 773-nucleotide long non-coding RNA. RefSeq lists it as uncharacterized. Lineage: Eukaryota; Metazoa; Chordata; Amphibia; Anura; Pipidae. The transcript has 4 exons. The record is from RefSeq and is a predicted model, not a curated record.